GUUCUGUCUUAGCACAUCAGCAGCAUAGACUUGGACGGCAGGCAAGGCGGAUGAGCCUUAGUGGAAAAUUACCUGCCCUUUGGUCUCUGAGUGUGUGAUCAGAGUUGGACAGAGUAAAGCACAUCAAUAUCAGAAGCCAUCGCGAGGGUUUGUAAGGCCUCCCAUGGAAUGAUGUAAGCCAGAAUGAGGCAUCUUUGUUGGUGGUUUAUGGGAAGCUGAAGACUGGAGGAAUGCCCUUGACAACACCGAUAUGUUCUAGCUCUACGAUUCCGCUUUGAAGCCCGUUUUUCAAGUUUUUAGAUUUUCACUUCUUAGAGCAGCACUACUUUCCCUCCCACCUUUAUCCACAUAACUCAUGUGGAUUCCAGCUUAAAAGCUGUGCAAAACAAAACAAUCUUCCACAGCCAGGGUGCCUGACCGGCUGAAAAUUGUGUCCGUGUGGACAGAGAGCAUCCUGCUCCACGUGGUGGAGCACCACCCGUGCCUCAGUCUCUUUCAUUGUUGACAAACCACAGUGAUCAUUCUGCAUUAUGGAUUUAUUUCUGUUUCCCCAAAGUCACUUUCUGUAAACGUUUAUAUGUUUGUCUCUCACUUCUUCUGGGCACAGGGACAUUUAUUGGUAAGAGUAUGAUAAGACUUAAUGUGUUUUUAAAAAUAAAUAAAUAUAAAAAAAUAAAUAAAUUAUAUAUAUA
This is a long non-coding RNA of Marmota monax (woodchuck), 692 nucleotides long. RefSeq lists it as uncharacterized. The transcript has 2 exons. The record is from RefSeq and is a predicted model, not a curated record. Lineage: Eukaryota; Metazoa; Chordata; Mammalia; Rodentia; Sciuridae.